This 654-nucleotide ribosomal RNA is filed under the name uncultured Vibrionaceae bacterium. RNAcentral's name for it is "bacterial SSU rRNA". It matches the Rfam family "Bacterial small subunit ribosomal RNA", at positions 8 to 660 of the family's 1533-position model. Lineage: Bacteria; Pseudomonadati; Pseudomonadota; Gammaproteobacteria; Vibrionales; Vibrionaceae. The record is from RNAcentral.
AGAGUUUGAUCAUGGCUCAGAUUGAACGCUGGCGGCAGGCCUAACACAUGCAAGUCGAGCGCGAAAGCACUUCGGUGUGAGUAGAGCGGCGGACGGGUGAGUAAUGCUUGGGAAUCUGCCCAGUAGUGGGGGAUAACGUGUGGAAACGCACGCUAAUACCGCAUACGUCCUACGGGAGAAAGCAGGGGAUCUUCGGACCUUGCGCUAUUGGAUGAGCCCAAGUCAGAUUAGCUAGUUGGUGGGGUAAUGGCCUACCAAGGCGACGAUCUGUAGCUGGUCUGAGAGGAUGAUCAGCCACACUGGGACUGAGACACGGCCCAGACUCCUACGGGAGGCAGCAGUGGGGAAUAUUGCACAAUGGGCGAAAGCCUGAUGCAGCCAUGCCGCGUGUGUGAAGAAGGCUCUAGGGUUGUAAAGCACUUUCAGUAGGGAGGAAAUGUUGUUGAUUAAUACUCAACAAUCUUGACGUUACCUACAGAAGAAGCACCGGCAAACUCCGUGCCAGCAGCCGCGGUAAUACGGAGGGUGCGAGCGUUAAUCGGAAUUACUGGGCGUAAAGCGCGCGUAGGUGGUUUGAUAAGCUAGCUGUGAAAGCCCCGGGCUUAACCUGGGAACUGCAGUUAGAACUGUCUGACUAGAGUACUGUAGAGGGGA